This 496-nucleotide ribosomal RNA is filed under the name uncultured bacterium. Its description in RNAcentral is "partial 16S ribosomal RNA". It matches the Rfam family "Bacterial small subunit ribosomal RNA", at positions 28 to 506 of the family's 1533-position model. The record is from RNAcentral.
GAUGAACGCUGGCGGCGUGCCUAAUACAUGCAAGUCGAGCGAACGGACGAGAAGCUUGCUUCUCUGAUGUUAGCGGCGGACGGGUGAGUAACACGUGGAUAACCUACCUAUAAGACUGGGAUAACUUCGGGAAACCGUAGCUAAUACCGGAUAAUAUUUUGAACCGCAUGGUUCAAAAGUGAAAGACGGUCUUGCUGUCACUUAUAGAUGGAUCCGCGCUGCAUUAGCUAGUUGGUAAGGUAACGGCUUACCAAGGCAACGAUGCAUAGCCGACCUGAGAGGGUAACCGCCCAACAUGGAAAUGAGACAGGGUCCAAACUCCUAGGGGAGGCAGAAGUGGGGAAUUUUCCGGAAGGGGCGAAAGCCUGACGGACCAACGCCGGGGGAGUAAUGAAGGUUUUCGGAUCGUAAAACUCUGUUAUUAGGGAAGAACAUAUGGGAAAGUAACUGGGCACAUUUUGACGGUACCAAAUAAAAAAGCCAGGGCUAACUACGU